Molecule: long non-coding RNA, 2567 nt
Organism: Vigna unguiculata (cowpea)
Lineage: Eukaryota; Viridiplantae; Streptophyta; Magnoliopsida; Fabales; Fabaceae
Source: RefSeq, a predicted model, not a curated record
CUAUAUGGGUGGAGCAAUGUAUCAUUUAGUGCGCUACUACUAUUGCUCAAAGAAUUUCUUCCUGAAAACUCUUCUUUGUCAGUAACAUUCCAAGAUUGCAAAUAGUUAAUCAAAGAGUUAGGUUGUAGUUAUGAAAAAAUCCAUGCUUGUCCUAAUGACUGUAUCCUAUUUUGGAAAGAGCAUGAGAAUGAAGAUACAUGCCCCAACUGUGGCGCUUCUAAAUAUAAAGAGAGAGUGUGUCUAAAUCUUAAGAAGAAAGUUUCUUGCAAGGUAAUUUCUCCUCCGGUUCUAGCCAAAGUAUUGAGGUAUUUUCCUCUUAAACCGAGGAUCAAGAAGUUAUAUAUGUCAUCAAAAAUUGUUGAUUCAAUGAAAUGGCAUGAGAAGGGUCGUCCUAAUGAUGGAAAAUUAAGGCAUCCUGCAAAUUCACUUGCUUGGAAAACUUUUGAUUCACUACAUCCUGAUUUUGCAUUGGAUCCACGAAACGUGAGGCUUGGGUUAGCAAGUGAUGGAUUUAAUCCAUAUAAGACAAUGAGUAGAAAAUAUAGUAUUUGGCCGGUUUUUCUAAUGUCAUAAAACCUACCUCCAUGGGCUUGCAUGAAGCAACCUUAUUUGAUGUUAUCUUUACUUAUUUCAGGUCCUUCUUCCCCUAGUUGAUGUCUAUUUAAAACCUCUAGUUGAUGAGAUAAAGGAGUUAUGGGAGAAAGGAUUUGAAACCUAUGAUGCCUCUAGUAAGCAAUAUUUUAUUGUUCAAACUGCAUUACUUUGGACUCUAAGUGAUUUCCCUGCCUACGCUAUGCUAUCAGGUUGGCAUACUAGUGGAAAGUUGGUGUGCCUUGUGCGUAACUAUGAUACAUGGUCCAAGUACUUGUCGAAAAGUAAAAAGAUGUGCUACAUGGGUCAUCGUAGAUUUUUGGACUCUAAUCAUAAAUGGCAGAAAAAUAAGAAGUGUUUUUAUGGCUAUGAAGAAUUUAAAGUUACUUCAGUUCCAUUAUUAGGUUCUACUUUAUUGGAAAAAAUUGGCGAAAGACAGAAUUUAUUUGGAAACCCUCAAAAGAGGAAAAUAAAUAAUGUUGAUCUAUGGACAAAAAAGGUAUAUUAUUUGGGUUGGCAUAUUGGGAUACUAAUUUGCACCGUCACAAUCUCGAUGUAAUGCACAUCGAAAAGAACAUUUGUGAAAAUGUAAUUGGAACACUAUUGAAUGUAGAUGGGAAAUCAAAGGAUCAUAUCAAAGCUUGCCUUGACUUGGUAAACAUGGGUAUAAGGCAGGACAUUCAACCAAUAGAAAUAGAACCAAAUAAAUAUUAGUUACCACCUGCACGAUUUACUCUUUCAUCAAAAGAAAAGGAUAUCUUUUGUGGCAUUUUGAAAGGAGUGAAGCUUCCAGAAAAUUAUGGGUCUAAUAUUUCUAAUUGUGUUCAACUUGAGCAGCAAAAACUUCUUGGGCUUAAAAGUCAUGAUUUUCAUAUGUUGAUGCAAGACUUACUUAAAAUAGCAGUACGAAGAGUUUUACCAAAAGAAGUCACAAGAGUUUUAAUUAAGUUAAGCUCAUUCUUCAAGAUUUUAUGCUCCAAAGUUAUCAAGAUUGAAUUAUUUGAAUGUUUGGAUGUUGAAAUUGCAUUGAUUCUUUGCGAAUUGGAAAGAAUUUUCCCUCCAUCUUUUUUUGUUAUAAUGGUUCAUCUAUUAAUACAUUUAACAUACAAAGCUAGAAUUGCAGGACCCAUGCAUUAUCGUUGGAUGUAUCCAAUUGAGAGGUAAUUUGAUUUAUAUUUUUGUCCUUUUGUAGGUUUCUUCUUAAUUCGUACUUAAGUUUUAUACUUUUAUGCUUAUAAGUUUCUUCUUAAUUUAAAGAACUAUGUGUGUAAUAGACGUUAUCCAAAGGGUUCUACUGCAGAAGGGUAUAUAGCAUAUGAAUGUUUGACAUUUUGUUCAAGGUACUUAGAUGACGAUAUCCAAACAAAAUUCAAUAAACCAGUAAGGAGUUUAGAUGGUCCUAUAGGAGAUGGAGUCAUGACAAGUUUGGAUCCUCUUACAUAGGAGCAAGCUCAUCAAUAUGUGUUAUUCAAUUCUGAAGCUAUCAAACCAUUUCUCAACCAACAUGAAGAAUUUGUUUUCAGUCACAAUCGUCAAGGUUCAACAAGAAAAUGGAAUAAGGCUAAAGAUCAAUGUCUUACUUUUCAUGAAUGAUUUGAAGAUCGAGUAAGGAAUUUAGAUGUUAAUGAAGAUGUUAAAUGGUUGUCUAAAGGGCCAAAUACAGUUGCAAGAAGAUUUUCUGCAUAUGCAAUAAAUGGCUACAAGUUUGUCAUUGAAAGUCGUGAAAGAAGCAAGAAAGAUGAAAAUCCAGUGGUAUAAAAUGUUCCUACUAGGGAGUUUUAAAAGAUACAAUUGAAUUGGAUUACUAUGGACAUUUCAAGUUUAUGUUGUUCAAAUGUCAUUGGUUUCAAAUUAAACAAGAUGGUUUUGGAUUGGUACUCAUAAAUUUUCAUAGGUUGAUCUAUGAAUGAUCCUUUUGUAUUUGCAUCUCAAGUAAAGCAAGUGUAUUAUACAAAAGACCCAAAUGAUGAUUGCCA